UACCGGAACCUUUGCUUCUUCUUCUCCAUCCGCCGUCGCCGCCGCCACCGCCGCAGCUGCCACCGCUUCCACCGCUUCCACGCCAAGAAGUAGGAUGGCCACGACGGCGACGAACGACAAGACACAA
Molecule: non-coding RNA, 127 nt
Filed under: uncultured Nitzschia
Lineage: Eukaryota; Bacillariophyta; Bacillariophyceae; Bacillariales; Bacillariaceae
Source: RNAcentral